GGUUAAAAAGCUCGUAGUUGGAUUUCUGUUGAGGACGGCCGGUCCGCACUAUGUGCGUGUAUCUGGUUCGGCCUUGGCAUCCUCUUGAGGAACGUUCCUGCGCUUGAUUGCGUGGGGCGGUAUUCAAGACUUUUACUUUGAGGAAAUUAGAGUGUUCACGGCAGGCAAGCGCCUUGAAUACAUUAGCAUGGAAUAAUAAUAUAGGAUCUUGGUUCUAUUUGUUGGUUUCUAGGGCUAAGGUAAUGAUUAAUAGGGAUAAUUGGGGGCAUUUGUAUUAACGCGUCAGAGGUGGAAUUCUUGGAUUGCGUUACGACAAACUACUGCGAAAGCAUUUGCCAAGGAUGUUUUCAUUGAUCAAGAACGAAAGUAUGGGGAUCGAAGAUGAUUAGAUACCGUCGUAGUCUAUACCAUAAACUAUGCCGACUAGGGAUUGGAGGUCGUUCUUUUUAUGACUCCUUCAGCACCUUAUGAGAAAUCAAAGUCUUUGGGUUCCGGGGGG
RNAcentral lists this ribosomal RNA (499 nucleotides) under uncultured eukaryote. Its description in RNAcentral is "SSU rRNA". It matches the Rfam family "Eukaryotic small subunit ribosomal RNA", at positions 617 to 1121 of the family's 1831-position model. The record is from RNAcentral.